CAUCAUAGCAAAAAUAAGAGGUGGCAUAAUACUUAUUCCAAAAAUAGACAAAGCAUGACUAAAAAAUACAAAAAAAAAUUGUUCAGUGCAUGUUUUAACUAAGCAUGACUAAAAAAUUUACCAGAAUUUUGUGAUGGAAUUGAAUGAUAAGAUGUUGACGCUUCGGCGAUGUUGACACAGCUGCAUGCGCUAUGUGGUUCUUCAUGAGCAUUGAGCAAUCUAGACCAAUUGCAAAUCCUGAAGU
Molecule: long non-coding RNA, 244 nt
Filed under: Trifolium pratense (red clover)
Lineage: Eukaryota; Viridiplantae; Streptophyta; Magnoliopsida; Fabales; Fabaceae
Description: long non-coding RNA (TPRA_LNC010426)
Source: RNAcentral